AGAGUUUGAUCCUGGCUCAGAUUGAACGCUGGCGGAAUGCUUUACACAUGCAAGUCGAACGGCAGCACGGGUGCUUGCACCUGGUGGCGAGUGGCGAACGGGUGAGUAAUGCGUCGGAACGUACCGAGUAAUGGGGGAUAACGCAGCGAAAGUUGUGCUAAUACCGCAUACGCCCUCCGGGGGAAAGCAGGGGAUCUUCGGACCUUGCGUUAUUCGAGCGGCCGACGUCUGAUUAGCUAGUUGGUGGGGUAAAGGCCUACCAAGGCGACGAUCAGUAGCGGGUCUGAGAGGAUGAUCCGCCACACUGGAACUGAGACACGGUCCAGACUCCUACGGGAGGCAGCAGUGGGGAAUUUUGGACAAUGGGGGCAACCCUGAUCCAGCCAUUCCGCGUGAGUGAAGAAGGCCUUCGGGUUGUAAAGCUCUUUCAGCAGGAACGAAACGGUACGCUCUAACAUAGUGUGCUAAUGACGGUACCUGCAGAAGAAGCACCGGCUAACUACGUGCCAGCAGCCGCGGUAAUACGUAGGGUGCGAGCGUUAAUCGGAAUUACUGGGCGUAAAGCGUGCGCAGGCGGAUUGUUAAGCAAGACGUGAAAUCCCCGGGCUUAACCUGGGAAUGGCGUUUUGAACUGGCAGUCUAGAGUGUGUCAGAGGGGGGUAGAAUUCCACGUGUAGCAGUGAAAUGCGUAGAGAUGUGGAGGAAUACCGAUGGCGAAGGCAGCCCCCUGGGAUAACACUGACGCUCAUGUACGAAAGCGUGGGUAGCAAACAGGAUUAGAUACCCUGGUAGUCC
RNAcentral lists this ribosomal RNA (795 nucleotides) under uncultured bacterium. Its description in RNAcentral is "bacterial SSU rRNA". It matches the Rfam family "Bacterial small subunit ribosomal RNA", at positions 8 to 796 of the family's 1533-position model. The record is from RNAcentral.